Molecule: ribosomal RNA, 460 nt
Filed under: uncultured bacterium
Lineage: Bacteria
Description: partial 16S ribosomal RNA
Rfam family: Bacterial small subunit ribosomal RNA
Source: RNAcentral
CCUACGGGUGGCAGCAGUGAGGAAUAUUGGUCAAUGGGCGGAAGCCUGAACCAGCCAAGUAGCGUGCAGGAUGACGGCCCUACGGGUUGUAAACUGCUUUUAUACGGGAAUAACGCGCCUUACGUGUAGGGCUUUUCAUGUACCGUAUGAAUAAGGACCGGCUAAUUCCGUGCCCGCAACCGCGGUAAUACGGAAGGUCCGGGCGGUACCCGGAUUUAUUGGGGUUAAAGGGAGCGUAGGCCGCAUGUCAAACGUGCUGUGAAAUGUGCGGGGUCAACCCGGGCCUUGCAGCGCGAACUGGCGUGCUUGAGUCCGCGGAAAGCAGGCGGAAUGCGUCGUGUAGCGGUGAAAUGCUUAGAUAUGACGAAGAACCCCGAUUGCGAAGGCAGCUUGCUGCAGCGGAACUGACGCUGAUGCUCGAAAGCGCGGGUAUCGAACAGGAUUAGAUACCCUAGUAGUC